CUUUUGUAAUAUUAUGACUUUUAUUCAUUAAAAACAUGAGAGGGGGGUUCAUAGGCUUUAAUAGACUUUUGAAGGGGUUCAGGCAAAAAAAAAGAGUUUAAGAACCCCUGGACUAGAAUAAUAGAGCUUCUCUCUCUUUCUCUCUCUUUUCAAUUUCAAAUCAGCUAUUUUGUACUUUCCUAUUCUUUAUAGGGAUUCCUUAGAGCUUUAAGAUGCCAUUUGUACUAAAUAUUCUUAAAUUUUUGGGAACUAUUAUGUGACCCUGUGUUUUUCCAUUGUUGUUUAAUUUAGGAUUUGCCCCAAUAUCUGGACUUAAAGGAAAACAUGUUUUGUUGUCUAUGACAGGAGUCCUGACCUUGGAGAAACGCAACCACCAAUCUCAUAGGAUUCCAUUGUUUGAGUCAUUGACCAGAACAAGCAGCUCAUAAUGCAGUGAGGAUGUGCACAGAUGGGAACCACUUCAGAAGCCAGAGAGAAAAAUCUCAUGCUACUCACACACUCUUUCACCUAAAAUCCAGAGGGCACUUGCUGCAGCAGAUGCAGAAAUAAAAACACAAUUGAAAAAGGUGGAAAGACUUCAUAAUAUGUGGAAGCUAAAGAAUAUCAUGAAACUGCUGACCAUCCACACCAAGGAAAUCAUGUUUCUAUCAAUGUAUGGGAGAAAGGGCAAAAGAUUAUUGAAGAAAUGGAGAAUUAAAGCAAUCCACUGCAGAUUUCAGCCACAUAAUUGCUAUCCAAAUAUUACACUUACAAUAGUUACAGAAAUAAUAGAGAAGGUGGAAGAAUACCAAUUCAGAAGCCACUUAAAUAAUUCACAUCAUAAAAAUAGCUCUGCUAAAAGCUUUGCUGAGGCUCCUGCUUUCUGCUUUUCAGCUACAGACCAAAGAUGAUUCUAAAUAAAGAACAAUUUCA
Molecule: long non-coding RNA, 912 nt
Filed under: Monodelphis domestica (gray short-tailed opossum)
Lineage: Eukaryota; Metazoa; Chordata; Mammalia; Didelphimorphia; Didelphidae
Description: lncRNA (ENSMODG00000038077.1)
Source: RNAcentral